This 253-nucleotide ribosomal RNA is filed under the name uncultured bacterium. RNAcentral describes it as "partial 16S ribosomal RNA". It matches the Rfam family "Bacterial small subunit ribosomal RNA", at positions 524 to 776 of the family's 1533-position model. The record is from RNAcentral.
UACGAAGGGGGCUAGCGUUGUUCGGAAUUACUGGGCGUAAAGCGCACGUAGGCGGAUACUUAAGUCAGGGGUGAAAUCCCGGGGCUCAACCCCGGAACUGCCUUUGAUACUGGAGAGCUCGAGUCCGGAAGAGGUGAGUGGAACUGCGAGUGUAGAGGUGAAAUUCGUAGAUAUUCGCAAGAACACCAGUGGCGAAGGCGGCUCACUGGCCCGAUACUGACGCUGAGGCACGAAAGCGUGGGGAGCAAACAGG